RNAcentral lists this ribosomal RNA (253 nucleotides) under uncultured bacterium. RNAcentral describes it as "partial 16S ribosomal RNA". It matches the Rfam family "Bacterial small subunit ribosomal RNA", at positions 524 to 776 of the family's 1533-position model. The record is from RNAcentral.
UACGUAGGGACCAAGCGUUGUUCGGAUUUACUGGGCGUAAAGGGCGCGUAGGCGGCGUGUCAAGUCAAUUGUGAAAUCUCCGAGCUUAACUCGGAAAGGUCAACUGAUACUGUGCGACUAGAGUGUGGAAGGGGCAACUGGAAUUCUUGGUGUAGCGGUGAAAUGCGUAGAUAUCAAGAGGAACACCUGCGGCGAAGGCGGGUUGCUGGGCCGACACUGACGCUGAGGUGCGAAAGCGUGGGGAGCGAACAGG